GUUGAUCAUACCAUAAUGGUAUGAACCUUGUGGGUUUGGCCUUGGUCCACUUGCUGACAAGUUUGUCCUGAUGGAGCGGGCCUGAUUAAGGGACCAGUCGAUUUGGAUGGUAGGUCCACCAGGAGGAGGACCAGAGACGGGGGUGUUAGAGCUGCUAUAGUGAAGUACAGCAGUGGUGGUGAGGACUGGAGUCGUGAAACGAGAUGAAACAACGAUGUAAUGGUCUUUUGCUUCUUGAUUAGCUGUAAUGAGGACAGAGUAAGAUUGGCCAGCAUGGACAUCAAGUGAGGAAUAAGUUGUUUGCAAUGUGUGUGUUCCCUCUACUUCAACUAAUGUCAUUUUGUGUCCUUCAACGCGGAAAUUCAAUGAAUUUUGCAAUCCAACGUUUGAUAUCCUCAAUCUAUAGGUUUUCCCUUGAUCGACUGUGAAUGUAACACCAUUAGGACCACGACCAUUGAUAAGAAUGCCAUCAGGGAAAGGUAACUUCCUGCCUCCGUCAAGAAUUGCUUUCAAGUCCGUGUGGUUCUUUUUGUACCAAUCUCCAAUGAGGAUGGUGUAAUCGUUUGCAGGGUCCGGAAAAGGGACGGGGAUUCUAGGCCUGCUGAGAAUCCUAAUCCCUCCAAAACCACCAGCAGCUUUGUGGAAUGCAAGAGAUGGGAAG
RNAcentral lists this unclassified non-coding RNA (661 nucleotides) under Hevea brasiliensis (rubber tree). Lineage: Eukaryota; Viridiplantae; Streptophyta; Magnoliopsida; Malpighiales; Euphorbiaceae. The record is from RNAcentral.